This 925-nucleotide long non-coding RNA is filed under the name Rattus norvegicus (Norway rat). RNAcentral's name for it is "long non-coding RNA NONRATT034014". The record is from RNAcentral. Lineage: Eukaryota; Metazoa; Chordata; Mammalia; Rodentia; Muridae.
CUCUGCUAACAGAUCACCACAUUGUUGCCAGGACCAUAAUGAAUGCAAUUCUUUCUCCUAAGGAAUCCGGUGGCAACUGUUAAAUGUUAAGCACAAAGCUUCAGGUUGUACCUAUAAUACACACCCACAUCGCAACCUACCCUACAGGCUAUUUCUGGGUGUGAUUUCAUGCACCUGCACAUGAUGAGACAGGAGACCUCUUUGGCUACUUAUAGUAACUGGUGUGAUUUCUCAGUAAUCUUUAAUGGGUAAUAUUGCUGACUGAGGAGAAUUUGAGGUAGGAUGAAACAUUUCUGUGCAGGGAUUGGGGAGGAAGCACUCAUUUAGAUAUAUAGCAAUGACUUAGGUUUUUCCAAUCAAGCCUAGAGCCAAAUUUGGCUUUGGAAGCAUGUGGUGCUCAGUGGCUAUGCCACAGGGAAGUCCCCUGAAAAGGGCACAUAAGCUUUUGCUCAGUACAGGGAGAACAUUAGCAGGGAGGCAAAGUCUGUUCUCCGUGACAUCAGCCGUCCCUUCGUGGACAUUCUAUUGUCUCCUAGAGAGACCUUGGAAUCCCUGUGAUGUCACCAGUAUCGUUGUGACAACCAAUUCCCUACUUUUUCUCUUAGUGUCCAAAGGAUAUAUCCACAGACAUGUUUGCCCGUCUUUGUAGGCGCUUUGGGAGAGUUGAUGUUGAUAGAGAAGAGUCUAGAGUGAAGCAAACGAAACCUAAAGAGGCCUGCAGACAGACGUCAUCCCCUGAAAAUGUCCUAAACAAGGUGCAGGCCAACGAGGAAGAGGAGAGGCUGAAUAGAGAACUGGAGCUAACUACCAAGGAGAGAAAUGAGCUGACAGAUCGCCUCCUUUAUGUGACAGGUGGAUCCAUGAGCAAGAGGUAUGCAUUGCUCCAAACAAACGACCUUGUUCUAAACCUCAUCUCCCAUAGAAU